This 3150-nucleotide long non-coding RNA is filed under the name Arabidopsis lyrata. Its description in RNAcentral is "long non-coding RNA (ALYR_LNC000047)". Lineage: Eukaryota; Viridiplantae; Streptophyta; Magnoliopsida; Brassicales; Brassicaceae. The record is from RNAcentral.
GAAACACACACUGUGGACAAGUUUUAUUCGUCAGCGUACACAUACACUUAGUAAGGCCAACGGCCCCUAAUAUUACCAGGAGGAAAAUAGUUGCAAGUCACAAAGGUUCCACCAUUGUCACACUUGACUUUGGCACACCCAACCCACUUCGAGUUUUUCCACACAACCUGAGUAUAAUGACCACAUUGUUUUCCAGCACGACAUGUGUUCGAUUUGUGGAAGUAGUCAGACUUCUCUUUGACCCACAAUCUCACUGCGGCAGCUCCGGACAUAUCACCACUGCUCCAUGCCAAGUUUUCACCGUACCGCCCGCGUGAGUUUGAGUGUUUGAGACGACAGUCCCGCUUUCUUAUUUGAGCAUAGUUCCAGGCGUAUCGCGCCGCCCCCGCAUGCCAUUUUAUAUGAGGCACACCAACGUGGUCUCGAGCACGGUUGUGUACAGCGAGGUAGUCUUUUGGCUGGUCUUGGGCUUUCAGUGGAACUACAAAAGCUAGGAAAAGAGCUAACGCCAAUAGUACUAGGGUUUGAAGAGAGUUAAACAUCUUCAUUUUUUUUUUUAUCUUAGUUGUCUCUGAGCUCUUUAGUGUUGUGUGUGUUAUGGUUAGAAACGAGGGUUUAUAUAGAGUUUACAUUGGAGUAAUUUCUAGACGAGUAAUAACACUUGCGAGAUAUUUUUUAAUUUUUACCAACGAAGACACGACUUGUAGUAAUUGUAUUAUUAUUUUUAAUCUGUUUACCAAGUCAAAUAGGCGAAGGGGUCAGAGAGCCUUAAUAAUGUCCCUUCGUAAAUAAAUUUAAACCAAUCAUUUGACUGAAACAAUUUUUACAGUAUUAAAAAUCCAAGACAAUAUCUUCAUAUCUUUCCAUAUACGUUUGUAUGCAUUUAUUUUAUUAUUAUUAAGGAGAAACUUUGGAGCACAAAAUAAACGAAACAUUAGAAUAUACUCCCGUUGAAUGUUGUAUAUUUUAUCCUCUAGAUAAUUUCUAUGUUUUAUGCUAGUUAAUUACUAUGACUUUUACUAGGUCAAAUGAAUGUAUGGAACCAGGCGUUGUCUCCUAGUGGUAAAGGGUCCCCAGCUGGAGGUACUGCCACCUGGGUUCGAUUCCUGGCCACUGCAGUAUUCACAUACAGGCUGCAGCGUUUCAGGAACCGACACGUGGAGAGCCAUUUGGCCGCCCACGUGGCUAGUCUGAGCGAACCGAUAGCGGUGCAAACACGUGGACUCUUGCUCUGUCGGGAAACCGAUAGCGGUGCAAACACGUGGACCCUUGCUCUGUCGGCGAGCGUUAGGAAAUCUGGGUUAUCAAAAAAAAAAAAAAAAAUGAAUGUAUGGCGAUGAUGCUAAUUAAGUAAUUAAAAAAAGGUGUUUCAUCGUGAAAACUGGUUCUUAUCAAUGUGAUUGAUUAAGAAUUACUUAUCUUCUUCUUUUUUUAUGGAUCAACCAUUUGCCGUUGUUUAAAUUACUCGAAUAAAGACAUCAAUGAGUAAAGGUCGAAUGUCUAGACAAUAAGAAAACAAGCAAAUUUUCAUUAGGGGUAGACAAUUUAUCUCAUAAGUUUAAAGAGAAGAUUACUUAAAUAUUCAGACAUCGAUAUCUCUUUAAUGUAGUUUUGUCACUGUUUUUGUACUCGUUUUGCAGCUUGCUUGUGAUAGACUUAAUUAGAAUUUCUUUUAUGAAUUUGUAUUUGAUAGUUUAUCACAAAUAAUAAUAUCUUGGAUAGUAUCUACAUUCUGUGAAUUUUCUUGAUGAUUAGUGGAUGAGAAAUUAAACAGCUUUAGAAGUCGAGAUCAUGCUCUUCAACAAUAACGUAGCUUAAACAUGCUUAAGAAAACUCUUAAUAGAAGAAACAAACAAAAGAAAAAUCAAUCACAAGCUCACGUUAAAUCACCUCGAUAUCCCAAGCACUUGCCAACUGCACCACGAGCUGGUCCGGUGUAUCCAUCGUCGGACUCGGACAUGCCAUUUGAAAGUUGUACAAGAAAUUGUACCUCAACUCCAUUGGAACUUCAAACAUCUCUGAACCACCUUUUAAAAGCACUUCUACCAGCUGCAAAGAGAGAGGGAAAGGGGUUAAGACUAAACAUCAUUUAGAAAUUGUAAAAGAUUUGAAGAUGUACCUGUUGAAUCCAAGGUACGCAUAUACCGUAGAAAUCAUGAUCCGGCAGCAGCGUACAUAUGAAGUUUAGAGCUUCAUUUGCAAUCUCAUUAGACAUAUGGCUAAUAAUGGGUCCUGUGUGAUGCAUCAGAAAGAUGAUCAACAUCUGGUUACCCAAACCAAGAACUCUUGCUAAUAUAUUACUAUUGUGGAUGCUCUUAGGACAAAAUUUUUUUUUUGCCUAUUAUUAUAAAAUAAUAUUUUUUUUACUACUUUUUCUAAAAAUUUAAGGUUUUUUAAUUAAAAAGUUAUUAUUUUAAAUUUUGGGGCCUUUUAUAUUUUUUUUUGUAAAAAAGUGGACUUUUUGAAGUAUAGUUCUUAUAUUAAUAAUAAAUUUUUUAAUAUGUGGAACUUUUUUAUAUGUAAAUUUUUAAAAGAAAAAAAUGUCCUGGACAGUCGUACUUUCGGCGUAUCCAUGUGAGCCGGGCUGAUGAUAAUAAAGUUAACGUAUUAACACAUAUAUUACAAGAAGGCAGAUUGAACACUAAACAUGGUAGUAUGAAAAACAAAUUCAUGUUGGUCUUGUGGUUAAAAUUCACCAUGUAAUUAAGAGAUCAUGGUUCGUGCCUUCUUAUUGCUGUUUUAAUCAUAGUUAGCUAUUGUUGAUGGUUUAUAUAACAAAAAUAUCCGGUGUUAAUUUCAUACACGGAAAUCUGAAUCAUGGUGUCAAGAUUCCACAUGUUGUAUUAUUCCAUCACAACAUGUCAACAUAUAUAUUAUACAAACCAUAAACACACAAAGGAACCACCACAUCCUGAUAGAUGGUGAUCAUUUAUUGAAAUUAUAGAAACACACACGUCCUCUAUGGACAAGUUUUAUUCGUCAGCGUACACAUAUACUUAGUAAGGCCAACGGCCCCUAACAUUACCGGGAGGAGAAUAGUUGCAAGUCACAAAGGUUCCACCAUUGUCACACUUGACUUUGGCACACCCAACCCACUCCGAGUUUUUCCACACAACCUGAGUAUAAUGACCACAUUGUUUUCCAGCACGA